This 464-nucleotide ribosomal RNA is filed under the name uncultured bacterium. Its description in RNAcentral is "partial 16S ribosomal RNA". It matches the Rfam family "Bacterial small subunit ribosomal RNA", at positions 338 to 795 of the family's 1533-position model. The record is from RNAcentral.
CCUACGGGUGGCAGCAGUGGGGAAUAUUGCGCAAUGGGCGAAAGCCUGACGCAGCGACGCCGCGUGCGGGAUGAAGGUCUUCGGAUCGUACACCUCUGUCAGCAGGGAAGAACGGUCACUUUCCUAAUCCGCAGUGAAUUGACGGUACCUGCACAGGAAGCACCGGCUAACUCCGUGCCAGCAGCCGCGGUAAUACGGAGGUGGCGAGCGUUAAUCGGAAUUAUUGGGCGUAAAGCGCUCGUAGGCGGUCUGUAAAGUCAGGGGUAAAAUCCCGGGGCUCAACGUGGAACUGCCUUUGAUACGGGCAAACUAGAGUGGGUGAGAGGAUAGUGGAAUUCCAGGUGUAGGAGUGAAAUGCGUAGAUAUCUGGAGGAACAUCAAGGGCGAAGGCGGCUAACUGGCACAUAACUGACGCUGAGGAGCGAAAGCGUGGGGAGCAAACAGGAUUAGAUACCCGAGUAGUC